RNAcentral lists this ribosomal RNA (256 nucleotides) under uncultured bacterium. Its description in RNAcentral is "partial 16S ribosomal RNA". It matches the Rfam family "Bacterial small subunit ribosomal RNA", at positions 524 to 776 of the family's 1533-position model. The record is from RNAcentral.
GACGUAGGUGGCGAACGUUAUCCGGAAUUAUUGGGCGUAAAGGGUGCGUAGGUGGUCUGACAAGUUAUCAGUGGCAAAUCGAGGCUCAACCUCGUGGAAACUGGUAAUACUGUUCGGCUUGAGUACAGGAGGGGUUAACGGAACUCUAUGUGGAGCGGUAAAAUGCACAGAUAUAUAGAAGAACAUCAAUAAAGGCGAAGGCAGUUAACUAUUCUGUUACUGACGCUGAGGCACGAAAGCGUGGGGAGCAAAACGG